GGUGAUUUGAAUAACGGACAAAAUGGCGGCCGAGAAAAUAACCGUCUCCCAAGUGGAACAGAGAAACAGAAACCACACGUCCCAAUAGAUGUCACACCUUACCUGCGUCCUGGAUUGUGCAAAAUGGUAUGGGAAUGCAUCACCCUGAUGCCUUCUCAGCCACAAGAAGUGUGAGGUGCCAAAGGAGGGAGACAAACGAGUAAUUAUUUUGAUAGCCACACCAUGACAGAGUGCACAACGGAAUACAGUGAAUUACAGCAUGAGACAGAUAGCUUGGUUCGUGCUGCUUCCCUGGCAAUCCUUUUCAUGGCUGAGGUGGCUGCAAAAGGACAUGGGGUUUGGGACAUCAAUGGAAAAAAGGUAUGUAUAUGGGUGAGUCAUCAAGAAUGGAGUUGUGGAACAAGCAGCUUAGUUCAGUUUAAGAAUGACAGAACUGUACAGCGUGUGACAGAACUGUUUUGUGCUGCACACCAUUAUUCAGCAUGGACUAGAAAAAAAAUCUUUGAAGGGUGGAGUAGUGCCAAAAAUCAUUGUAUCAAGCUGUAA
Callorhinchus milii (elephant shark) is the source of this 546-nucleotide long non-coding RNA. RefSeq lists it as uncharacterized. The transcript is spliced from 4 exons. NCBI's taxonomy places the organism in Eukaryota, Metazoa, Chordata, Chondrichthyes, Chimaeriformes, Callorhinchidae. The record is from RefSeq and is a predicted model, not a curated record.